CGUGUAGUUUCUCCCAAGGUGUCUGCCUCCUCACCCAGAGCCAGACCUCCACCUCCUCACCCAGGGCCAGACCUCCACCUCCUCACCCAGAGCCAGACCUCCACCUCCUCACCCAGAGCCAGACCUCCACCUCCUGUCAGAAGUCCUCCAGAACAGCUGAAAGGCGAGGCUGAGAGGCUGGAGACCGGAGGCUUGUGGUGGCAGGAUGGACCGGAGACUGAGGCUGGAGACCAGGGGCCUGCAGCACCGGACCAGAGGACCAAGAAUCCAUGGCUGAAGGAGCUGAUGGAGGAGCCGUGCUGAAGGAGCCGAUGGAGGAGCUGAUGGAGGAGCCGUGCUGAAGGAGCUGAUGGAGGUGUCGUGCUGAAGGCCCUGCCUGGUGGAGGAGCUGGUGGAGGCCCUGCCUGGUGAAGGACGUCUGUCGUGGGGUAGAUGGAGCUUGACUCUGAAGUGAUCAUCACACUCACUGCAACUUCUCGUAGAAUACUGCUACCACAAACUACCGGCGUUUGUACCACAUAUACCAGAUGACUACAUCUGUUUUAGCACAUGUUGAAGCAAGACUUCCGCUGUUUGUUCCAGACCAGGACUCUGUCUGAGGAGAGCUGCUGGAGGAGCUGAGACGCUGGAGGACGACUAGGAAUCGACCAACAAGGAUUCCUCGUAAGAUUGUAUUGACUUUACAUAGUUGACUUAAAGGGGAACAUACAGCUGUUACUUUGACAUGCGUUAACCAGCUACCGCUGUGAUUUCUUACUAGAAUGUGUUUCUGGAGCGGAGGCGAGUUGGUAGGGGAGCCGCAAAUCUGGAGGACGACAUCACUCCACCAACCAGGAUCCUCGUAAGUUUGCAUAAAAUAAACAGAGUGGACUUGUAACGCAGGAUUAGUUUUCCAGUUAAAGUUACGGCAUACUACUGUGGUUGUUUACCAGACGAACUACUACUUUGUUACGCGCCAUUAGAGCCCAACUACUCCUGUGUUUGUUACCUGAUAUCAGAGACAAACUACUACUGUGUUUGUUACCUUACAUUAGAGCCCAACUACUCCUGUGUUUGUUACCUUACAUUAGAGACAAACUACUCCUGUGUUUGUUACCUUACAUUAGAGACCAACUGCUCCUGAUUUGAGUAGAAUUGUGUGGCAAAGCACAACUGACGUGACUUGUAUGUUUUAUAUAAAUCACCGAUAAUGAGUGAAGGAAAUCGG
RNAcentral lists this long non-coding RNA (1207 nucleotides) under Gadus morhua (Atlantic cod). Its description in RNAcentral is "lncRNA (ENSGMOG00000022566.1)". The record is from RNAcentral. Lineage: Eukaryota; Metazoa; Chordata; Actinopteri; Gadiformes; Gadidae.